GGCGAACGCUGGCGGCGUGCCUAAUACAUGCGAGUCGAACGAGAGCGACCGGUGCUUGCACUGGUCAAUCUAGUGGCGAACGGGUGAGUAACACGUGGGUAACCUGCCCAUCAGAGGGGGAUAACAUCCGGAAACGGAUGCUAAAACCGCAUAGGUCUUCGAACCGCAUGGUUUGAAGAGGAAAAGAGGCGCACGCUUCUGCUGAUGGAUGGACCCGCGGUGCAUUAGCUAGUUGGUGAGGUAACGGCUCACCAAGGCCGUGAUGCAUAGCCGACCUGAGAGGGUGAUCGGCCACAUUGGGACUGAGACACGGCCCAAACUCCUACGGGAGGCAGCAGUAGGGAAUCUUCCGCAAUGGACGCAAGUCUGACGGAGCAACGCCGCGUGAGUGAAGAAGGUUUUCGGAUCGUAAAACUCUGUUGUUAGAGAAGAACAAGUGCUAGAGUAACUGUUAGCGCCUUGACGGUAUCUAACCAGAAAGCCACGGCUAACUACGUG
RNAcentral lists this ribosomal RNA (498 nucleotides) under uncultured bacterium. Its description in RNAcentral is "partial 16S ribosomal RNA". It matches the Rfam family "Bacterial small subunit ribosomal RNA", at positions 28 to 507 of the family's 1533-position model. The record is from RNAcentral.